RNAcentral lists this long non-coding RNA (703 nucleotides) under Homo sapiens (human). Its description in RNAcentral is "LNC_000820". The record is from RNAcentral. Lineage: Eukaryota; Metazoa; Chordata; Mammalia; Primates; Hominidae.
GGAAGAGAGGGAAGGAGGGUGGAAAGAGGCUAAAAACCGUUAAGUGUUAUAAAGGGAGCAUGGGCCCAGAAGCCCAGCAAUAGUCCCUCCUGGAAUCCAUUGGCUUGCCUCAAGAGUGUCUGAGCCUUCUCUUUUAGGGUUACCAGAUAAAUGCAGGAUGCACAGUUAAUAUGCAUUGGAGAAAAUAUUAAUUUAUUAUUAGAUAAUACAUAAUUUCUUUAGCAUAAGCAUGUCCUGUGCCAUGUUUAGUUAAGGGCAUACUUAUGCUAAAAAAUUAUUUCUUCUUAUCUGAAAUUCAGAAUUAACUAGGCAUUUUAUAUUUUUAUUUGCUAAAUCUGGCUACCCUAUUCUCUUCGUAAUAUUCUUCAACUCUCCCAGCUUUGCCCUCCUUCCCUGUCCGCUCUUCUAGGGGAGUCGGAUCGAGUUGUAAGGAGAACAUGCCCACUGUCUUGAUGGCUGCAGUGUGUGGUCCCCACAGGUGGUGAGGAAGAGAUGGGUUUCCACCCAUGCUGUACACGGAAUGUUUGUGUCCUCCCCAAAUUCCUAUGUUGAAGCCCUAACCACCAAUGUAAUGGUAUUUGGAGAUGGGCCUUUGUGAGGACACAAAGAGAAUGUGGCUGCGUGCAAACCAGGAGGAGAGCCCUCACCAGGAACCAAUCUAACUGACACCUUGAACUUGGACUUCCAAACCUCCAGUACUGUG